GUAGGUGAACCUGCGGAAGGAUCAUUACCAUUACCUCAACUGGUGGAUUUCGACUGUUCCCUUGGGUUCAGCCGACUCUCACCUGUUUGAAGUUACCCAUGCCUUUUGCGUACAAUUUGUUUUCCCAGCAGGGCGUUAAGCUCUAACGGGAUACCAAUUCACCCAUGUAUUUGCAGUCAACGUCUGAAAACAAUAAUAAUUACAACUUUUAACAACGGAUCUCUUGGUUCUG
RNAcentral lists this unclassified non-coding RNA (232 nucleotides) under rhizosphere metagenome. Its description in RNAcentral is "partial ribosomal RNA internal transcribed spacer region". The record is from RNAcentral.